AACUUAGUCUGUAUACCAAUACUUGAUAUGCACCGGACUUCCUUAACAUGCCACAUCUCAUACGGUGUGAUGAAAAGAACUUAGAGGAAACUCUAUUCAUUAAGUAAAGCUUAUUCCUAAAAAAAAUAAGAAAAGAUCAGUGAUGUUUAUCAUGGAUCGGAUCAUAUCGAAUAGAGUCCAAUUUCUCCUCACUGACACCCCCAUCAAGUUGAGGUGCACCAGAAAGAGUCC
This 231-nucleotide long non-coding RNA is filed under the name Elaeis guineensis (African oil palm). RNAcentral's name for it is "long non-coding RNA (EGUI_LNC024695)". The record is from RNAcentral. Lineage: Eukaryota; Viridiplantae; Streptophyta; Magnoliopsida; Arecales; Arecaceae.